UGGAGUAUAGCUCAGUGGUAGAGCGCCGGAUGUUUGUCCGGAGGUCGUGGGUUCGAAUCCCGCUGCACCGACCA
This 74-nucleotide transfer RNA is filed under the name Martinezella hainanensis. Its description in RNAcentral is "Rhizobium hainanense tRNA_Undet_???". It matches the Rfam family "tRNA". From Rfam's summary of the family: Transfer RNA (tRNA) molecules are approximately 80 nucleotides in length. Their secondary structure includes four short double-helical elements and three loops (D, anti-codon, and T loops). The record is from RNAcentral. Lineage: Bacteria; Pseudomonadati; Pseudomonadota; Alphaproteobacteria; Hyphomicrobiales; Rhizobiaceae.